Molecule: ribosomal RNA, 840 nt
Filed under: uncultured archaeon
Lineage: Archaea
Description: bacterial SSU rRNA
Rfam family: Archaeal small subunit ribosomal RNA
Source: RNAcentral
GCGGCGAACGGCUCCGUAACACGUAGUUAAUCUACCCUCGGGAUGGGGAUAACCCCGGGAAACUGGGAUUAAUACCCACUAGAUGAUUAUACCUGAAUGGCUUAUCAUCGAAAGAGUCUGGAAACAUGCUUCCAGCGUCGCCCGAGGAUGGGACCGCGUCCGAUCAGGUUGUUGGUGGGGUAACGGCCUACCAAGCCUAUAACCGGUACGGGCCCUGAGAGGGGGAGCCCGGAGAUGGAAACUGAGAAAAGGUUCCAGGCCCUACGGGGUGCAGCAGGCGCGAAACCUCCACAAUGCGCGAAAGCGUGAUGGGGUUAUCCCGAGUGCCGUCCGAUGAGGAUGGCUUUUCAUCGGUGUAAGGAUCCGAUGGAAUAAAGGGGGGGCAAGACUGGUGUCAGCCGCCGCGGUAAUACCAGCCCCCUGAGUGGUAAGGACGAUUAUUUGGCCUAAAGCGUUCGUAGCCGGCUUAUCAAGUCUUUUGUUAAAUCCAACGAUUCAAUCGUUGGGCCGCAAAAGAUACUGUUAUGCUAGUAGGACGGGAGAGGUCGACGGUAGUCCAGGGGUAGGGGUGAAAUCCUAUAAUCCUUGGAGGACCACCAGUGGCGAAGGCGGUCGACUAAAACGUGCCUGACGGUGAGGGACGAAAGCUGGGGGAGCGAACCGGAUUAAAUACCCGGGUAGUCCCAGCCGUAAACGAUGCGGGCUAGGUGUUGGGGCAGCCACGAGCUGCUCCAGUGCCGCAGAGAAGUUGUUAAGCUCGCCGCCUGGGGAGUACGGCCGCAAGGCUGAAACUUAAAGGAAUUGGCGGGGGAGCACCACAAGGGGUGAAGGCUGCGGUUU